GACGAACCGUGCGAACGUUGUUCGGAAUCACUGGGCUUAAAGGGCGCGUAGGCGGAUCAGCAAGUCCGGGGUGAAAUCUUUCGGCUCAACCGGAAAAGUGCCUUGGAUACUGCUGGUCUUGAGGGAGGUAGGGGCAUGUGGAACUUCCGGUGGAGCGGUGAAAUGCGUUGAUAUCGGAAGGAACGCCGGUGGCGAAAGCGACGUGCUGGCCCUCUUCUGACGCUGAGGCGCGAAAGCCAGGGGAGCGAACGGG
RNAcentral lists this ribosomal RNA (253 nucleotides) under uncultured bacterium. RNAcentral describes it as "partial 16S ribosomal RNA". It matches the Rfam family "Bacterial small subunit ribosomal RNA", at positions 524 to 776 of the family's 1533-position model. The record is from RNAcentral.